UAGAAUUUGGUUUAGAGGAGGGAAAGAAUACUCUCCUAUUUGAGAUUCUGGAAGGAAACAAAAACAAACCAUUCCUAACUGAUCAAAAGGGUUGGUUCUGUAUAAUCCUGAAACUCCUGGAUUACAGGAUAAGAAGAUGGUUGAAACUAUUCAAGCUGAAUACUCAUCUUUACUAAGGCGGCAUCUCUCCCAGUUUUCUGAACAGUCUGUUGAGCAGUCCAUGAGGGAUGUGCAUACAUGUAUUCGUGGAUUACCUAUAAUACAACAAUAUAUGGAAUCUGUUCAAAGGAGGUCGUCUUGAGUGAGGAAUCUGCCCUAACCGGCCAUUUUUAGUAGUGUAGUAGAGUAAUAACAAUACAGAUAGAACACUAAAUAUCGUCUGUUCAAGAUACAUGGGGUUUUUGUUAACAAUAACCAAAGGCAGAAGUACAAAGGAGUUACGCGCAUGCUCUUACUCUGUCUAGUAAUUCAACGCGGCAUAUGGUUAACUCCUUUGGUGCUGCCUUAUGGUUAUUGUGAACAAAAGCCUCCAAUUCUUAAUCUGAUGUUCUAUUUAUUUUAUCAUUAAUCUAUGUGAUAGGCAACUACUUGUUUUUUUGGAGCUUUUGGACUUACCAAUGGCACCACACAAAUUGUGUUAACUGUGUAUAUUCCAAAAUUUUUAAUUUAUAUUCUGUAAAACUUUGUGUUUAUUAACCUAUGUUGAUCAUACAAGAAAAACUAAACAAAAAAGUGCAUGGAAUGCAAAUGCAUGUUCAGCACACAACUUUGUAAUUUGUAAAUUUAAAGAACUUCUCAGAAAUCUGUGUAUAACCUUUAAAAGUCUAAAAUCCGAACCAGGUUUUGUUCCCAUGACUAGAUUAAUAAUAAUAAUAAAAUAAUAAAAUAAUAAAAUAAUAAAAUUCAGAUCAACAAAUCAUAAAAUAUUAAAACAG
Eurytemora carolleeae is the source of this 935-nucleotide long non-coding RNA. RefSeq lists it as uncharacterized. The record is from RefSeq and is a predicted model, not a curated record. The transcript is spliced from 3 exons. NCBI's taxonomy places the organism in Eukaryota, Metazoa, Arthropoda, Copepoda, Calanoida, Temoridae.